This 497-nucleotide ribosomal RNA is filed under the name uncultured bacterium. RNAcentral's name for it is "partial 16S ribosomal RNA". It matches the Rfam family "Bacterial small subunit ribosomal RNA", at positions 28 to 507 of the family's 1533-position model. The record is from RNAcentral.
GAUGAACGCUGGCGGCGUGCCUAAUACGUGCAAGUCGAGCGAACAGACGAGGAGCUUGCUCCUUUGACGUUAGCGGCGGACGGGUGAGUAACACGUAGGUAACCUACCUAUAAGACUGGGAUAACUUCGGGAAACCGGAGCUAAUACCGGAUAAUAUUUCGAACCGCAUGGUUCGAUAGUGAAAGAUGGCUUUGCUAUCACUUAUAGAUGGGCCUGCGCCGUAUUAGCUAGUUGGUAAGGUAACGGCUUACCAAGGCAACGAUACGUAGCCGACCUGAGAGGGUGAUCGGCCACACUGGAACUGAGACACGGUCCAGACUCCUACGGUAGGCAGCAGUAGGGAAUCUUCCGCAAUGGGCGAAAGCCUGACGGAGCAACGCCGCGUGAGUGAUGAAGGUCUUCGGAUCGUAAAACUCUGUUAUUAGGGAAGAACAAACGUGUAAGUAACUGUGCACGUCUUGACGGUACCUAAUCAGAAAGCCACGGCUAACUACGUG